RNAcentral lists this ribosomal RNA (743 nucleotides) under uncultured Lachnospiraceae bacterium. RNAcentral's name for it is "bacterial SSU rRNA". It matches the Rfam family "Bacterial small subunit ribosomal RNA", at positions 28 to 772 of the family's 1533-position model. The record is from RNAcentral. Lineage: Bacteria; Bacillati; Bacillota; Clostridia; Lachnospirales; Lachnospiraceae.
GAUGAACGCUGGCGGCGUGCUUAACACAUGCAAGUCGAACGAAGCACUUUAGACAGAUUCUUCGGAUGAAGUCCUUAGUGACUGAGUGGCGGACGGGUGAGUAACGCGUGGGUAACCUGCCUCAUACAGGGGGAUAACAGUUAGAAAUGGCUGCUAAUACCGCAUAAGCGCACGGUACUGCAUGGUACGGUGUGAAAAACUCCGGUGGUAUGAGAUGGACCCGCGUUGGAUUAGCUAGUUGGCAGGGUAACGGCCUACCAAGGCGACGAUCCAUAGCCGGCCUGAGAGGGUGAACGGCCACAUUGGGACUGAGACACGGCCCAGACUCCUACGGGAGGCAGCAGUGGGGAAUAUUGCACAAUGGGGGAAACCCUGAUGCAGCGACGCCGCGUGAGCGAAGAAGUAUUUCGGUAUGUAAAGCUCUAUCAGCAGGGAAGAAAAUGACGGUACCUGACUAAGAAGCCCCGGCUAACUACGUGCCAGCAGCCGCGGUAAUACGUAGGGGGCAAGCGUUAUCCGGAUUUACUGGGUGUAAAGGGAGCGUAGACGGAAUGGCAAGUCUGAUGUGAAAGGCCGGGGCUCAACCCCGGGACUGCAUUGGAAACUGUCAAUCUAGAGUACCGGAGGGGUAAGUGGAAUUCCUAGUGUAGCGGUGAAAUGCGUAGAUAUUAGGAGGAACACCAGUGGCGAAGGCGGCUUACUGGACGGUAACUGACGUUGAGGCUCGAAGCGUGGGGAGCAAA